UACAGAGGGUGCGAGCGUUGUCCGGAAUCACUGGGCGUAAAGGGCGCGUAGGCGGCUUGAUAAGCGUGCGGUGAAAGCCCGGGGCUCAACCCCGGGUCGGCCGUGCGAACUGUCGAGCUGGAGCACUGUAGAGGCAGGUGGAAUUCCGGGUGUAGCGGUGGAAUGCGUAGAGAUCCGGAAGAACACCGGUGGCGAAGGCGGCCUGCUGGGCAGUGGCUGACGCUGAGGCGCGACAGCGUGGGGAGCGAACGGG
Molecule: ribosomal RNA, 253 nt
Filed under: uncultured bacterium
Lineage: Bacteria
Description: partial 16S ribosomal RNA
Rfam family: Bacterial small subunit ribosomal RNA
Source: RNAcentral